RNAcentral lists this ribosomal RNA (468 nucleotides) under uncultured bacterium. Its description in RNAcentral is "partial 16S ribosomal RNA". It matches the Rfam family "Bacterial small subunit ribosomal RNA", at positions 28 to 507 of the family's 1533-position model. The record is from RNAcentral.
GACGAACGCUGGCGGCGUGCUUAACACAUGCAAGUCGAACGGAAAGGCGCUGAUUUUGUGCGGUGCUCGAGUGCCGAACGGGUGAGUGUAACGUGUGUAUCCUGCCCUUGUCUUUGGGGUAACAUCACGAAACUGCGGCUAAUACCGGAUAUGAGCUCCUGCUGCGUGGGGGGGGAUGGAAAGUUUCGGCUGUUGUGGAUGGACUGGCGGCUUAUCAGCUUGUUGGUCGGGUAGGGGCUGACCAAGGCUUUGAAGGCUAGGCCGCAUGAGAGCGUGACCGGCCACAUUGGGCCUGAGGGACGGCCCAGUAUGCUAUGGGAGGCAGCAGUGGGGAAUCUUGCAGAACGGGCGGGCGCGUGAUGCAACAACGCUGCGUGCGUGAUGACGGCCUUCGGGGGGUAAACCGCUUUCGCAUGUGACGAAGCGUUAGUGACGGUAAUGGGUAAAGAAGCACCGGCUAACUACGUG